Non-coding RNA from Sus scrofa (pig), 6935 nucleotides. The record is from RefSeq and is a predicted model, not a curated record. NCBI's taxonomy places the organism in Eukaryota, Metazoa, Chordata, Mammalia, Artiodactyla, Suidae.
AAGGCCAGGGAUCGAACCCGAAACUUCAUGGUUCCUAGUUGGAUUCGUUAACCACUGAGCCUCGAUGGGAACUCCAUGGUUUCCUUUUUUGUUUGUUUGUUUUAGAUAAGGAAAUUGGAGCUCUCAGAGGUAAAGACAUUUGCCUAAAUCUCCACAGGAAGUGGAUGGUAGCUCUGAGUCUCUCUAAGCCUUUGACCUUGUGCUGGGAGAUGCUGUUUCCUGUGUCUUACUCCAUCCUGGCUGCAAGAAGGGUCACAUGUGAGAGCACUUCUGGAACAGCAGCUGGGCACAAUGGGCACCCAGAAAGCUGUAACCACACAGUGUCCCUGCCCUAUAACAGAAAAGCAUGUCCACAGUCCCAGGAGGCUGGGUGUCCUCCACCUUGUGUCCGUCUAAGGGGGAGUGGGUUAUACGCAUAGUCAUAUGUAAAAGGUACUUUGGAAACCUCACCCAUGCACAAUGACCAGCGGGAAGAGCCGUUCUGAUGGCAGUGGGCAUCCAUUGCUGGUUCUUAUCCCAGAGGACAAAGGAGGUCAGCCGGCCUCCCUGAAUUCAGCCUGGGGUGGUGGUAACACAAUCCCUGCCAUGAGUGCUUGAGGAAGGAAGCAGCCUUUGGGUUGAAUGCUUCAUUUGCCUCUUUUUAGCUCUGUGAUCUUAGCUGAGUGCCCAAGCCUCAGUUUCUGCAACCUUGAAGGCCGGGUUCGUAAAAACCAACCUGGCAGAGUUGCUGCUUGGAUUAAGUGAUAUGGAGCCAAGCUGCCUGGGUUUGAAUCCUAGCUCUGCCCCUUACUGGCUGUGUAACGUGGGGCAAGUAACAGAAUCUCUCUGUGUCUUGGUUUUCUUGUCUGUAAAAUGCGUUAGGAUCUAACUCGACAGGUUAUGGUGAAGAUGAAUGAGUAAAUAUACGCCAAGUGGUCAGAGUAGUGCCUAGUACAUUGUAUACUCCCAGUAAAUGUAGUUAUUAUCGUUAUUAUUAUCCCUGGCUUUUGCCUCUUCCUGGAGUGCUGGCUGAUGAGGAUCAUAAGCUCUAGCAGCUGUGUAAACAUACAGGCAGCUCGCUCUUUCUUUCUUCUUUCUUUCCUUCUCCCUCCCUCUCUUUCCUUCCUUCCUUCUUUUUUUCUGACACAGUAACUCCAGCGACCGAGGCAAGCUGGGAUCCCUGGUCUCUCAGUAGACACAGGAGACAGUGUGUCUGCUGGGCAGGCUUCCUGGAAGAAGAAGCCCUUUUCCUGGUCCCUGAAGGACUCUUUGGUCUGUAAUGUGCAAGGCUACUUCCCUGUUGAGGGGGGUGAGAUUUCAUCUGAAAGGUGAUGUCAUUUUCCUGUCAUCACAAUCCAGCCCAUUGCAUGAGGAAGAAGCCUAACCCCAGGCCAGACCCAGGAAUGAAGGGGCUGGCCCAGGCAGGAAGCAGAGUUGAUUCUGGAUCUCUUGACUUGGGCCACGAGUGGGACAAGACUCUGUAGGACUGAUUUCCCACCCAAGGUAUUAGCACAGCGAUGCCCUCAGCCCUUACAGGUGGAGACCAGGCCUGGGCCAGCAGGAGCCAGUCCUCUGAUUGCAUAUUCACCUCCUCAUUUACCCACACAAUAUGGGUCACACAAUAUCCUUUUCGAUGUGAGCCUUAACCUCCUGGGAGGUACUGCCCAGGAAGCCAUGCCUUUGAGGCAAUACUCCAGAUAGUGCCAAGUAGAAACCACUGGAAGUUCAAAUGACUGGAGGCUGAGCAGAGGCUGCUGUGGAUGUGUAUUCCAGCCCUUUGGGGAGAGGGGAGGGUUGUUAAAAGUCAGAAGCCUCAUCUUGGCAGCACUGCCUGCCUGUAGAUGUGUUUGGAUUGCUGUAAUAUUUCCUUUUCAGUGCCCCCCUAGCAUUUAGUAAACUUCCUCCUGCAAAUCCCGCUCCGUCUUGGCUGCACUAAUGGGAGUGGAGAAAAGAGGGCUCAUCCAUCCUCAGGCUAAAGCUGUUCAGGGGGAGAAUGCUCCCCCUCCCCUGGGGACACUGCAGUGGUGAGAGAUCUCUGGAGGGUGGGAGAGAGGGCAGCCUGAGAGGCAGGGCGAAGGCUGCUCAGUUAGAGAAAGCGGCCCAUCAGGGCUCAUUGCUUGAGAAGAGAGCGCCGUCUUCCCGCUUCCCGGCAGGAGCCAAAUGAAGCCAUCUCUGGCAAAGAAUUGUCUCACUCCAUUGUGGGGGCUGGCAAGUCUGAAAUCCUUGGGGCAAGCCAGCAGGCUGGAGCUUCAGGUAAGAGUUGAUGUUUCAGUCUUGAGUCCAAAGGCUUCAGGUAAGAGUUGAUGUUUCAGUCUUGAGUCCAAAGGCUUCAGGUAAGAGUUGAUGUUUCAGUCUUGAGUCCAAAGGCUGGAAACUCAGGCAGGGUUUCUGUGUUAUAGCCUUGAGGCAAAAAUUCCUUCUUCAGGAAAUGUCAGUUUCUGCUUCUGUGCCCUUCAACUGAUUGGAUGAGGCCCACCACAGUGGAUCAUAAAUGUUCAUCACGUCUUAAAAACACCUUUACAGCAAUAUCUAGACUAGUGUUUGACCACACAGUUGGUCACCAUGGGCUAGCCAAGGUGACACAGAAUUAACCAUCACGCUAUGAACGGGUUGGGGUUCUCAACAAAGGCAUUUCCUUCCCUCUUUCCCACCCUUCCUCCUUUUCAGAGUUAUUGCUGAAGUCUGAAAAGGUUUCAUUCAGUGACAUCUCUGGUGCGUGGCCCUGAUAGCUGUUAGGGUCUGAGCAGUGAGGCCUGCGUGCCCUCCUGUUUCUCUCAGAUCCUUUUUUGCUGACUUUACACUCCAGAGAAUCAGUGUCCCUUCUUCCUGAGUCAAGCCCUAGAAUAGCCUUUUCCACUAAAGCCAUACCAGCUUUCCUCUGCAUCCAGUCCAAAUUGUUCCUAAUCUGAUUCUCGAAUAUAAUUUUUUUUUGUCUUUUUAGGGCCAUACCUGCGGCAUAUGGAGGUUCCCGGGCUAGGGGUCGAAUCGGAGCUGUAGCCGCUGGCCUAUACCACAGCCACAUUAACACAGGGUCUGAGCUGCGUCUGCGGCCUACACCACAGCUCAUGGCAAUGCCAGAUCCUUAACCCACUGAGGGAGGCCAGGGAUUGACCCUGCAUCCUCAUGGAUACUAGUCAGAUUCAUUAACUGCUGAGCCACGACACGAACUCCUUCUGCUUCAUAUAUAUAUAUUCAAUGUCGCAGUUUUCAAGGUUAGAUUAGAAGACCUGGGCUCUGCCACAGCAAGACUGUUAGCUGCCAAGACGAUCUUUCUGGCAUGUGUUAGUUAGCAGUGACCGAGAGGCUGGAAGGAAAGGCUUGAUGGGGGAUUAAGAGUUAACUCCCCACCUAGAAUGUUUCAGGUGGCAUUCUGCCUGGAAGCCGAGAGCUGGACUCUGUUCCAGUUCAGAGAUUUAUCCCCCGCAGGUGACCAAAAUGCUUCUCACUUUAAUGGAAUGUGGAAUUGGUUUUGCAAAAGUUUUGAAGAAUGCCUCGAUGCGAUCGCUAAGGCAGCAUAAGAUUGGGGAAGGAGCUCUGGGCCAAGAAUUAGAAGGCCUGGACUCUGCUCCACCAGAGUCUCUCCAUGUGAUUGUGGGCGGGUCACUUCCUGAGUGGAGGCCUCAGCCGUGAGAUGCUGGAAAGUCCACCUUGCCUUUGCACAGAGCGUCUUGGCUUUCAGAGCAUCUUCAUCAUUCGUCAUCUCUGUUCUUCACUCCAGCCUCAUGAGUGGAAGGUGCAUGCGAUUAAGUCAUCCUGGGAGAUGAAGGCAAAUACAGCUGAGCCCUGAAGGAUGAAGCUGGAUUUGACCAUCAGGAGCCUGAAGGAGGAAGGGGGUCUCUGCCCUACUCUUCCUCCUUGCCCCCUCCCCCUCCUGCCGCAGCCACCCCUGCUCUGGUGCAGUGGCCUGUUUACUGCAGGACCUGGCCAGCCCGGACCCUGGUGGAGCCUCUACCCUUGCUUGUCAGAUUUGCUGUGAUGCCCUGAAGCAGGUACUGCAAAGUGAGAGAGAUUCUGCCUGGCAGCUCUGGGAAGGUUAGAGUAGGAGGGGAGGCACACGGGGUGGCAGGUCAGAAGGAGAUACCUUUCCGUGUGGUUAUGCCCACCCCUCCUAAGGGGCCGAGAGGCAGGAGCUCAGGCUUUGCAUGUGUGAUUUUAGACUGCGAGGGUUUUGUGUCUUUAUUUUAAAACUGGCUUCUCAGUCUCCCGUGCAGUUUUCUGUCAGCUCGUUGCCAUGGAGAAGUCGGUUGGGGCUGAAAGCUCUGUCCCUCCCUGUGUCAGCAUUUCUGGACCUGCCAGCUGCUUCCUGCUCCUUCUACAGAUGGAGCAAGCAUGGGACCCCACUUGGUGGGCAGACCCCUCCUCUGCAAGGCCAGCAGGAGAGGAGCCCCCUUUAUCAGUGCAUCGACUCAGCAGCUCUGCCUCAGGUGCCUGCCUGUGCCAGCAUCGUGCUGUGCUCUGCAGGCAUGACGAGGACUGAGGCUGGGGACACACACAUCUUCAGGCAGGGCUCGCCAGCAUGCUGUCACACCAUCCCAGUUCAUCAGCCUCUUUCUUACUUCAGAAUCUAAAGGACUGGGUUUGUUUCUCUUCCAAGCUUGAUCGCUGUUCAUUUAGAAUCUCCCUGGAUGUUAUCUACCAGUCUCUGCCCUUCUGGAUCUCAUUUCUUCUCUGUGUCCCCAGUCCCUGGGGCCUGGGCAAGAGGUGCUUACCCAGGAAGUGUAUGUCUAAUGAAAUCCUUCCUCAGACCUCUCAGGAUGUCUGUGCUGAGCGGUCUUUCUUCCUCUGUUCUGAGCAUAGAGGCAGAAUGGGUGACAGCGUGAGCCAGUGGAAAAAGGAAGGACUUUGGAACCAGAUACAUCUGUGCUUGGGUUUGGGUUCCACUUUUUCCUAGCUCUGUAAUCUCAAGCAAGUGGCUUCUUCACUUGGAGGCUUAGUCAAAACCAAUACUCUUCUUUAAAUCCGCAUUACCAGUCUGUCAGUAAUUCAGUACUUGAGUUUUGACAUUUUAGAAAACAACACAGAAAUUACUGGUGAGGAGUUCCCGCUGUGGUGCAGUAGGUUAAGGAUCCGGAGUUGUCUCUUAAAAGGGCAUGAGUUCAAUCCCUGGCCUGGUGCAGCGGGUUAAGGAUCCAGCAUUGCUGCAGCUGUGGCAUAGGUUGUAGCCGCAGCUCGGAUUCCAUCCCUGGCCCAGGAACUUCCAUAUGCCACAGGCACAGCCGAAAAAGAAAAAACGAAAGAAAGAACUUACUGGUGGCUGUUUAAGCGCAUCAGGCGCUCUCUGUCUAUACCCAUGUGGGGCUCAGCUAAGAAAAGGUACCCUGCAGAGAGUCCUUGGUGAGGAUCGAGGGACCUAGACAAGUGUCCUGGCUGUAUCACUGAUGGACUGUUAUGAUCUGAUCAAAUUCCUUUCCUUACCAAGACCUCAGCUCCCCUUUUCCGGAAAUUUAGGAAUUGGAUUGGGUCUUGAAGGGUUCUCUUUGCUGUCCAAAUCUGAAGACUCGGCUUCAAAAAAAAAACCUUCCCUCAGCUACUGUCUACCACUGUCACCAAUGCCCCAGGCUGGAGGCUGACCUCACCAUGAACCCUUCUGCCGGAGUCUGGAAGCUGCUUUCCCAGGAAGCUCUGGGCUAGAACACUGGCACUGGAUGCAAAUAUCUCUUUUGGAUGUAAAAGCCCCUUUGAAUGCAUGGUCUCUUUUCCCACCCCCAAUCCAGUGGCUGGGCUGGGCUUGCCUCCCAACACAGUGGAGAAUGCUGGAAGGAAGGUUUUUUUCCUUUCUUCACCUGUGUCUUGCUUUUCCUUCGGACAUGUUGCCUUUGGGAACCUUUGGCUAUUGAAGAUUCUCUUUUCCUGCAACCCAGGGCUCUGUGCUAAGCAAUGAGAAGGAUGUAGAGAUAGAGGUCCCUGUCCCCACAGCCAGCCUCACAAUCUGUGAUGUGGAUGGGUGAAAUAAAGCAGCGCUGCGAAGUUCACAGAAGGCUGUCCAGGGACUCUGGUCAUAGCCCUGGCCCUUGUCUUGGGCAGGUUCUCCUCUUCUCCCGACCCAAUCGGCCUCUUCUGCACAGUUGAGAAGGUUAGACCAGGGAUCUCUAAGGUCCCUUCCUGCUCUGAAACUGCCAUUCUAAGUGCUCAGUGAAGGAGUGAUUGUUGCAGACUUUCUAGAGGAAGGAGGACUUGAGCUGAGCCUUAAAGUCUAGGCUAGGAUUUGGCCUGGCCUGGAUGGGGGUGGGGGGGGAGUCAUGAGCACAGGGUGAGGGUGGGGCAAGACGGAGGCCCUCCUCACUGGAGUGGUCUUGGAGGAGAUGGCUCUUGCCUUCCAUCUGACAACCCUCAUCCCCAGGGGCUUGGGUACUGGUGGUACCCACAGGAUGGAGAAGCAAACCAGGCAGGCUGAAACCAGGUCUCCCUCCCUACCCAGGGAUGUAGUAUGUAUCCAGUCUGAUGCCAUCAAGCAGACUCGAGGUCAAAGCCGGAAGAGGCCUCUCCAGGUCCUUUGCUUCUCACUCCAGUCAGUAGGUUCUCAGUGAGCAGGACCAGAGUAGAGCCUGAAAGGGUAAGUCUUCCUGGGAGAGCUGCCCUUCCUUCAUGGUCUCUGCCUCUCCAGAUGUCUUUCUGAACUCAGGGUGACAACAGGGCUAUUUCUUCUGUGUCUUUGGGAUUAGAUGCCUCCCAGUCUCCUGGCUAAGGCUGCCAAUCCUCUCCCUGUCCAUACCCACAGCUUUGCAGAGCCUACCUCCUUGUUCCCCUCCAGUGGUCCCUCUUCUGCACCCUCCUGUCUCCAAACAGCCCUCUCUGUAGUCCCUCCUCCACAGUCAGGCUAAGGUGUUCAGAAAAGUGGGGUUCCCAUCAUGGCUCAGCAGAAAUGAAUCUGACUAGCAUCCAUGAGGACGCAGGUUUGAUCCCUGGCCUUGCUUAGUGGGUAAAGGAUAUGGCGUUGCCUUGAGCUGUGGUGUAGG